GACGAACGCUGGCGGCGUGCUUAACACAUGCAAGUCGAACGGAAAGGCCCUGCUUUUGUGGGGUGCUCGAGUGGCGAACGGGUGAGUAACACGUGAGUAACCUGCCCUUGACUUUGGGAUAACUUCAGGAAACUGGGGCUAAUACCGGAUAGGAGCUCCUGCUGCAUGGUGGGGGUUGGAAAGUUUCGGCGGUUGGGGAUGGACUCGCGGCUUAUCAGCUUGUUGGUGGGGUAGUGGCUUACCAAGGCUUUGACGGGUAGCCGGCCUGAGAGGGUGACCGGCCACCUUGGGACUGAGAUACGGCCCAGACUCCUACGGGAGGCAGCAGUGGGGAAUAUUGCACAAUGGGCGGAAGCCUGAUGCAGCAACGCCGCGUGCGGGAUGACGGCCUUCGGGUUGUAAACCGCUUUCGCCUGUGACGAAGCGUGAGUGACGGUAAUGGGUAAAGAAGCACCGGCUAACUACGGG
RNAcentral lists this ribosomal RNA (468 nucleotides) under uncultured bacterium. RNAcentral's name for it is "partial 16S ribosomal RNA". It matches the Rfam family "Bacterial small subunit ribosomal RNA", at positions 28 to 507 of the family's 1533-position model. The record is from RNAcentral.